This 86-nucleotide non-coding RNA is filed under the name Plantibacter sp. Leaf314. RNAcentral's name for it is "Glycine riboswitch aptamer". It matches the Rfam family "Glycine riboswitch aptamer". From Rfam's summary of the family: This family represents the bacterial glycine riboswitch. Glycine riboswitches usually consist of two metabolite-binding aptamers domains with similar structures in tandem. RNAcentral also lists the same sequence under 2 other names. Lineage: Bacteria; Bacillati; Actinomycetota; Actinomycetes; Micrococcales; Microbacteriaceae. The record is from Rfam by way of RNAcentral.
AAACACGAUGCGGGAGAGCCGGUACGCCGGCACCGAAGGAGCAAGCCUCCCCGCCAAUCUCUCAGGUCCUGUACCGCAUCGGACUG